UCCACUGAUUCCCUAAAUACAAUUCCACCAAUUCUUCUCAUCUUCCCUAUCUCCAACUCUCUGUCCAUACUGCGCGGCCGCCAGCCAAGCCUUCAUGGCAUGUCGCCAUCGAAGAUCUGCUCACUGCUGCCGGCUCAGAGAUCAUUCCCUCUAUCUCUACCUCUCUCUCUUGGAGCCCUGCGAUCCCCGCCGUCGCUGGUUAUGAUGGCUCAAGACGUACUCCCAGGCCUGGACAAGAGGAGCUGUACAUGCCGCCGCCACUCUCCUUCUCCAACAUUACUUGCGCCAGAGAUGGGUGCUCUCCUUCCUCUCAUUCUUCUCAUAUAUGAACAUAAUUUUUUAGACGGCCUGAUUUGUGUGUGGUCGGAAAUUUCAUAGUAGGGAGCUCUUUUCCAUCCCCAGCGAGCUCCUCUGCGGCAACAUGUCCGGGUUUUGAAAAGAACAAACAAAUGAAGAAGCUUCCAUUAUCACAUUAUCACAACAUUGGCAUAUUGGGGUUCAUUUUCAGACAUGGGCGGUGGAUACAAACGAACAUGCUUGCAGUAGUCUGGGGGAUCACCAUCCAUGCACAAAGGUACGAAAUGAGAAGGCCAAAGAUUUUCUUUCCCUUCUUCAUCAUUGGUAUGAACUUUAUGAGAAAUAUGAAGUCCAGAAAAACAACGCAGUGCUGGGCUUUGGUCAAGCUGAAACGAUAGCAGAUGACGAAGAUGAAUCUCUUCCAUAUGACAUAUUUGAGGUUGAGAAACUUUUAAACAUAUGUUAUGGUGAUCCAACAAAGAAUGGUCAAGUAGGCCUCUGCUUUAAGGUGAGGUGCAAAGGAUAUGGACCUGCUGAUGAUACAUGGGAGCCGAUUGACGGCCUUCGUGAUUCUCCUGAGUCUAUUAAACAAUUCGUUGAGAGUGGAUAUAGCUAGGGAGGGUAUUUUGCUGUUACCUGUGCUUCCAAAAUUCCCACCAUCCAUGACGUUGUUAAGCAAGGAGUAGUAGUGCCAAAAGCAUUUUCGCAAUGUGUCGUUGCAUAUGACAAAACAAAAGAUAAGCACUUGAAGAAACCUGUUAUCCUUGAUGAUGCAAUAUCUGAUUUACCGAAGGUUCAUAUCAUAACAUUUUCCUCAUAUGCUCAUUGUUCCUCCAAUAUUGCAUGAGCCCAUGUGGAUUGAUGUCUACUGCACAACCUUCUUCUUGUAGACGUUGUUGGGCCUCCAAGUGCAGAGGU
Molecule: long non-coding RNA, 1215 nt
Organism: Triticum aestivum (bread wheat)
Lineage: Eukaryota; Viridiplantae; Streptophyta; Magnoliopsida; Poales; Poaceae
Exons: 9
Source: RefSeq, a predicted model, not a curated record